This 522-nucleotide ribosomal RNA is filed under the name Pichia kudriavzevii. RNAcentral's name for it is "partial large subunit ribosomal RNA". The record is from RNAcentral. Lineage: Eukaryota; Fungi; Ascomycota; Pichiomycetes; Pichiales; Pichiaceae.
UGAUUUAAUAAGUUGUUAUUAUUUGAUAAAAUGUUAGUAUAUAAAGUAAUAUAUUGAUAUAAAAAUGAAAUACUUUUAUAUUAUUCCAAUUUAUUUAUAUAAAUAAAAAUAUAAAUAGAUAUAAAUAAUAACUGAAUUAAUAAUUAAUUAGUAGAAAAAAGAAUAUCCUAAUUAUAAUAUAUUUAUAAAAAUAUAUAUAUUAAUGGCAGCUUUAAAUUGAUAGUUUAAAUGGGGCGUUGAUUUCACAAAAAAUAACUGAAUAUGUCCAUAUACAAUUAAAAUUAAAUGAAUUAAUGAAUUAAUCAUUAAAAAUGUUAAAAAUAAUAUGAAUUUAUUAUAAUUUUAGAAAAACCUAUGUACAGUAAAUUUGACCUGACAUCAAAUAAUUAUCUAAAAAAUAAUUUUACUAAAUUAAUAUAAUAGUGGAUAACUGUGCAAUAAUUUAACACUAACAAGUGAAAAUUAUACGUAAGUAAGGUAUAAUGAACAGAUCAUUCUAAUAGUCCAAGUGAUCGAUUAACG